RNAcentral lists this long non-coding RNA (1878 nucleotides) under Equus caballus (horse). RNAcentral describes it as "lncRNA (ENSECAG00000054903.1)". The record is from RNAcentral. Lineage: Eukaryota; Metazoa; Chordata; Mammalia; Perissodactyla; Equidae.
UGACAAUACAAUAUUAGAAAAAAAUAUACCAGCCAUCAUAUACAAUUUACUAUAGAACCUCUUAGAAAUAAACUAAAGGGAAUACAAACUCUGCUGCAUCUGCAUAUAUGUAUACACACAGUUUCUCUUCUGAAAUUUUUAUCUCAAAUCUGCUUUAAAUCAAAAUGAGUUGAGCUUCAAACAGGGGCCGGGCGAGAAAGAACCUUCUAAAAACUUUACUCCACCCAGCAAAUGCUUUAAAGGUGAACUAACGCGCAGUGUCUCUCACUUACAUAACCAUGCUCCAAGAAGGACAGCCUCUCCGUACUUUGAUUUUCAAAGAAAGUGCUAGGGCUUUUAUAGAACAAAGAAGGAAAGCCUUCUCCAUUCUUCUUUCCUUCCCUCCCUCUCCACAGUUUGACCACUCCAUUUUUCCUAGUUUUCCUUCUUAAAUAAGGUCUCCUUUCUUUUGUCUUCCUUCCCUCUUUGUACCUCCACCAUCACAGUUUGAUUAAAAAUGAUUUUCCACGUAGGACCCUUAACAGAUCAACGUGGGAGGGGGACACCCACAAUCCUGGGACUCGGCCCGCCUGACCUGGGCGGCCUCCCCACCUCCCUGCUCUCCUCGCUUCUCUGGGGUUCCCCCGAGGGGCUGAGCACCCCAGCAGGGCGCGCGGUAAGUUCAGAGUUUGCUCUGGCGCCGUGCAGUGUGUCCACCAACUUCUGCUUUUCCCCAGGGAAAACUGCGAGACUUGAAGCGCGACUGCAAGUGCUUCUUCUGGUCAGCUUGGAGGUCUCCGAGCCCCGGGAUUGGCGGCCCAAACCCCUACUCUUCCCGCCCUGGGAGGAAUCUGAAUCGGAGCCAAUUCAACGCGCUCGGAGCCCCCAACACCCAAGCACCCACAUCUGCUCUGCAGCGCGAGCGAGAAAGCUUGCGUGGAGCUUGCGGGAUGGGGCGUGCAUGGAGCGGAUGGCGAGGAGGGACGCGGGGGACGACCGAGGCUGGGGGAAAAGCGCCGGGAGAGGGGUGCAGUCCGAUCUGCCCCACGCGCUGGGGGCGCGGGCUCCCGUGCGCCCCAGGCCAGGCCCCGAAGCGAGCAAACGUGAGCGCAGAUCGGCCUCCCUUUCACCAGAGAGCGGGCGUUUCGUUGAGAAGGAAAACCAUCCGGAAAGAAAGUCAGCUUGCGCAUUUGUUUUGGCGUUUCGUCUGUUUGCCUCCCAAUUAAAAAGUGGCCGCCUAGGCGACAGCUUUGCGGUUUUCACAGUGUAAAACGGAUUAGAGGAAAAGCUCCAGCCCCUCUCGACUUUCGCUUGCGGUUUGCAACCCCCGGGGCGGGUGUGACCCUGCGACACCUGCGCAGGCGAGCUUCCCCUGCGGCGGCCCGACAGCGGCCCCGGCUUCCCUGGGGCGGGGCCCCGCAGGGCGGAGCCAGGGCUGCGCGCCCGGGGGAAGGGAGGUUCCCACGGUGCAGGUCCUGGGUGUGCUGGUGUCCUGGGGCAGCCCCCGGGGGCCUCCAUCUCCAGGACACGGAGGAGGGAAGAGCAAAGCAAAGGAAUUUACUGCAGAUGGCACUGGAACCAAAGUUGGCGUGUUCCUGUCCUGCUCAGUGCUCGUAGGUUUUCCCCAAGAAUCCAGAAUUCGCUGAGGACACUUAUAUCCAAGAAACGAUGAGUUAACACGCACAUUUAGUUAAAAAGAAAAAAGGAAAGAAAGAAAAACUGCUCUUCUAUCCUCUCCACGUUCCCAGAUUUCACCAAAUAAACCAAGGGUCCGGGCGAGAAUAGGCUGAAGCUGGGGCGCCGGAGAUGCGCAAGGAGGGGUUCCCGCGGGCGCGUCGCCCCUCCGCGGCCUCUUGCACCCGCAACUGCCCACGAGUUUGCGGGGUGUGGGCGCCGGAU